GGGCGUGUGGCUCAGUUGGUAGAGCGUUCGCUUAGCAUCUCCAUCUCUUCGAGUCGGUUCUCUGGUGCGAAAGGUCCUGGGUUCGAUUCCCAGCCCGUCCA
This is a non-coding RNA of Podospora didyma, 101 nucleotides long. The record is from the annotation of a GenBank genome assembly. Lineage: Eukaryota; Fungi; Ascomycota; Sordariomycetes; Sordariales; Podosporaceae.